Molecule: long non-coding RNA, 1673 nt
Organism: Gossypium raimondii (Peruvian cotton)
Lineage: Eukaryota; Viridiplantae; Streptophyta; Magnoliopsida; Malvales; Malvaceae
Exons: 2
Source: RefSeq, a predicted model, not a curated record
CGCGGCCCAAAAAAAGAAAAACCAAAAGACCGCGUUGAGGUAAACCGCAAAGGGGAAGGGAUCUAUAGCGCAAAUAUCCCGCUAAGGGAAAACACGCGGAUCCCCUUCCUGGAGGGUCGGGUUGCGGGUCAUACGCCAAAACGGCGUCGUUUUGGCCAUUGAUGCUAAGGCCCAAAACGGCGCCGUUUUGUAUCUAAUAUAAAUACCAAAAAAAAAAAAAGAAAGAAAACAAUUUACUUCAUUUUUCAGAAAAAAAGAAAAAAAACAGAGAGCUCAGCCUCUCUCUCUCUCUCUCUCUCGCAGGCUUCUAGCUCCGGCCAAGGACCCAGCCAUCGGCCACCGUGUCUCCGUUGCGUCGCCGCCUCACCGGCCGCAGUAUGCGGUGGCCGGAAAGUUCAAAGAUGGUAGCAGACACGUGGGUAGCAGCGCUUGGGGAGCGGAGGCGGUGGCCAGGGGACGUGCAUGAGGCUGGCAGAGGCGGACCUAGGUGCGGCGCACCUAGGGUUUCUGCCUCUCAUUUUUUGCUGAAAAUUUGUUUAAGUUUUGUGGGCUUGCUGGGCUAAGGUUUAGUAGUAUUUGGGUUUGGGUUUUGUUUUGGAUAUUGGGUUUUGGGGGGUAUUGGGCAAAUUUGGGCUUGUACAUACUUCAUUCAACCAAAUCUGGUCAAACUACUUAAUGCUUAUUGAGCAAAAUGCAGGCAUUAUCCUGUUCAGGUUCAAAGGGACUUUCUCAGCCUCAUCUGCCAGCUUCAUGGUCGAAUGCCAUGAACUAAAUGCAGAUACAGGCACCCCUGGUGCGUUUUGCAUCAAUAUAUAACAUCAAAACCAUAAAUAAAACGUGCAUUGAAGUUCUAGUGGCAUAAAUUAUCUGCUCAUUUUUUCUUUAAAAGAAAAAAAGAAUAUUUUAAAGGAUUUCACUUACUUUACCAUGGAUUCAUUUCAUUUGUAAUCACAGGAUUACUUCAAUUACUAGAGUAAUAUUUUCGGUGCAUAUAAUACCUUCCAGAAUUUCAAUAAACAAGAACCCCGAUGUACUGACUGAUAAGUUGUAAAAGUAGCAUUUUUUAAUCUCAUUCUGAAUGCAUUUUUGGAUGAUUAAUUAUGUAAAUUAGUGAAUUUGAUGCUCCUAAUCCUUUAAAUUUUUGUUUCUAUACUUAGGAGAGCAUUUGGGAGCAAAAGGAGCGAAAAACGAGCUAAAAUCGGAUAAAUAGAGUUGUUUCCAAGAUCCACAUGGCCUGGGCAUUUCCACACGAGCUGGCCACAAGCCCGUGUGAGCGACACGUGCCAACCCAUGUGCCGCCUUGUCGAUAUCGCUCCCUGUUUCCCAAACACGCAGAAAAAUUCAAUUUUUAGGCUUUUUGAGCAUUCUAAAGUCUAUAAUUAUCAAUUAUAAGAAGAUCUAAGAGAGCACUCAGAGAAGAUUGAAGAAAUCACUCGAAGAAUGCCAUCAGAAUCAACUCAGAAGUGGAUCUCCUUCAAGAUUGAAGAUCUCCAUUUAAUUUCCUUAGAAGUUUUAUUGAGUUUUUUUAUGUCUUAUUGUUAUACUAACUUUGAGAUGUUUUCAUUCCAGAUUAUGAACUAAACUCCCUAGAUACCUAAGGAAGAGGAAACCUAUGAUGAAUCUUAUUAUUUGAUUUCUGAUUUACAUGAUAAAUACUUGAUUCUUGUUCUCAA